Molecule: ribosomal RNA, 111 nt
Filed under: Candidatus Levybacteria bacterium RBG_16_35_11
Lineage: Bacteria; Candidatus Levyibacteriota
Source: RNAcentral
UCUGGUAAUUAGAGCGAAGUGGAAACACCUCUUCCCAUUCCGAACAGAGAAGUGAAACGCUUCAGCGCCUACGAUACUGGGAUUUCCCGGGACAAUAGGUCAUUGCCAGAA